This 1202-nucleotide ribosomal RNA is filed under the name Bacteroidales bacterium. RNAcentral's name for it is "partial 23S ribosomal RNA". It matches the Rfam family "Bacterial large subunit ribosomal RNA", at positions 1 to 1213 of the family's 2925-position model. The record is from RNAcentral. Lineage: Bacteria; Pseudomonadati; Bacteroidota; Bacteroidia; Bacteroidales.
GAUCGAAGGGCGCAUGGGGGAUGCCUUGGCUCUCGGAGGCGAGGAAGGACGUGACAAGCUGCGAUAAGCCACGGCGAGGGGCAAAUACCCAUUGACCCGUGGAUCUCCGAAUGGGGCAACCCGGCGGGAGCGAUCCCGUCACCCUGCAGAGCAGGGGGCGAACGUGGGGAACUGAAACAUCUAAGUACCCGCAGGAAGAGAAAGUAAUAACGAUUCCCCAAGUAGCGGCGAGCGAACGGGGAGGAGCCCAAACCGGCGGUGUCGCAAGGCAUGUGCCGGGGUUAUAGGACCGACAUAACGGACCAAGGAUUCUAGUGGAAGCGCAUGGAGCGGCGCGCCACAGCGGGUGAGAGCCCCUUACACGAAAGGAUCCGCGGAACAGGUCGGCACCUGAGUAGGCCGGGACACGAGAAAUCCCGGUUGAAUUGUCGGGGACCAUCCCGAAAGGCUAAAUACUACCGAGAGACCGAUAGCGAACGAGUACCGUGAGGGAAAGGUGAAAAGCACCUCGGACAGAGGAGUGAAAGAGACCCUGAAACCAUGCGCCUACAAGCGGUCGGAGCCAUCCCGUAUGGUGACGGCGUGCCUUUUGCAUAAUGAACCUGCGAGUUGCCGUCGGCGGCGAGGCUAAGCGGUUAGGCCGCGGAGCCGGAGCGAAAGCGAGUCCGAACAGGGCGUAUAGUCGCCGGAGGCAGACGCGAAACCGAGUGAUCUACGCAUGGGCAGGAUGAAGGACAGGUAACACUGUCUGGAGGUCCGAACCGGUAAGCGUUGAAAAGCUUUCGGAUGACCUGUGCGUAGGAGUGAAAGGCCAAUCAAACUCGGAGAUAGCUCGUACUCCCCGAAAUGCAUUUAGGUGCAGCCUCGGGGUCAGUGCCGCGGAGGUAGAGCGACCGAUAGGAUGCGAGGGCUUCGCCGCCUAUCAAGUCCUGACGAACUCCGAAUGCCGCGGCAUGAUCCCCGGGAGUGAGGGCGCGGGUGCUAAGGUCCGCGUCCGAGAGAGGAACAACUCAGACCACCGUCUAAGGCCCCGAAAUCCGGGCUGAGUUGAAGGCAAUAACGAGGUGGGGCCGCAGCGACAGCUAGGAUGUUGGCUUGGAAGCAGCCAUUCAUUUAAAGAGUGCGUAACAGCUCACUAGUCGAGCGGCCCCGCGUGGAUAAUAAUCGGGCAUAAGUCCGGUGCCGAAGACGUGGACUCUGUC